AACGAACGCUGGCGGCAUGCCUAACACAUGCAAGUCGAACGAGAUCCCUCGGGGUCUUGUGGCGCACGGGUGCGUAACGCGUGGGAAUCUGCCCUUAGGUCCGGAAUAACAGUUAGAAAUGACUGCUCAUACCGGAUGAUGACGUUAAGUCCAAAGAUUUAUCGCCUGAGGAUGAGCCCACGUAGGAUUAGCUCGUUGGUGUGGUAAAGGCGCACCAAGGCGAGGAUCCUUAGCUGGUCAGAGAGGAUGAUCAGCCACACUGGGACUGAGACACGGCCCAGAAUCCUACGGGAGGCAGCAGUGGGGAAUAUUGGACAAUGGGCGCAAGCAUGAUGCAGCAAUGCCGCGUGAGUGAUGAAGGCCUUAGGGUUGUAAAGCUCUUUUACCCGGGAUGAUAAUGACAGUACCGGGAGAAUAAGCCCCGGCUAACUCCGUG
Molecule: ribosomal RNA, 436 nt
Filed under: uncultured bacterium
Lineage: Bacteria
Description: partial 16S ribosomal RNA
Rfam family: Bacterial small subunit ribosomal RNA
Source: RNAcentral